Molecule: non-coding RNA, 31 nt
Filed under: Homo sapiens (human)
Lineage: Eukaryota; Metazoa; Chordata; Mammalia; Primates; Hominidae
Source: RNAcentral
GGGAUUUAUUAUCCAGAACGGCUGCUCUAGA